UACGUAGGGAGCAAGCGUUGUCCGGAAUCAUUGGGCGUAAAGCGCGCGUAGGUGGCCCCAUAAGUCCGCUGUGAAAGUCAAAGGCUCAACCUUUGAAAGCCGGUGGAUACUGUGGGACUAGAGUACGGAAGAGGCGAGUGGAAUUCCUGGUGUAGCGGUGAAAUGCGCAGAUAUCAGGAGGAACACCGGUGGCGAAGGCGGUUCUCUGGGCAUGUCCUGACGCUGAGGAGCGAAAGUGUGGGGAGCGAACAGG
This 253-nucleotide ribosomal RNA is filed under the name uncultured bacterium. RNAcentral's name for it is "partial 16S ribosomal RNA". It matches the Rfam family "Bacterial small subunit ribosomal RNA", at positions 524 to 776 of the family's 1533-position model. The record is from RNAcentral.